Eucalyptus grandis is the source of this 681-nucleotide long non-coding RNA. RefSeq lists it as uncharacterized. The transcript is spliced from 4 exons. NCBI's taxonomy places the organism in Eukaryota, Viridiplantae, Streptophyta, Magnoliopsida, Myrtales, Myrtaceae. The record is from RefSeq and is a predicted model, not a curated record.
GAUGGAAACUUUCAUGUUUUUGGAAGAUAGUAUUUUCCGUGUAAAGCUUUUCCUCUAAUUAGAUUUGCCACUUGUGCUGAUGGAGGAAUUGGUUGUUCAAGUAAGUUUACUUGAACACAUUAUUUUGCUAUGAUGUUUAGCGGCCUCAUUUUGUUCUUCUGAAGAUACUCUAUGCAGGUUUUGCAUUUUGCUAUGUUUCCAGAACCAGAAUACGAUCUGCCUAUAUUCUGUGCCAACUUUUUCACUGCUGCCGAGACAAUUAUAGUUGUUCUGGACCUUGACCCUCUAGAUGACGUCGUCAAGCACAAAGAAUACAAAGAUAAGUGCUACGAAGGCCUGAUGUCUCAAGUAUGCUGAGCUUUUACCAUGGGGUGGAAAUUUAACGGGCGAAUCGUUGAGAUUCUUCUCACCAAUAGUCAUAUGGACCAGGCUUAAGUCUAGUCAACACAUGCAUGACGUUUGAUACCCUGCAUUCGUGGAUUAUCUCAAGGCUUGGCUUGUUUUGAUGGACCUAGGAAUAAGGGAGACUGAUGCAUCUCAAAUUAUAGCCAACCGUGAAGCGCAGCAUCGGUAUCUGACUUUGAGAGCAGAAAAGGUUAAUCACCUGGUCACUCAUCUCCUCCCCUAUAUUCAUCUACAGCCUGCUUGCGAAGUUUAUUUAUUACAUGCACAUGCAGGGAC